This is a non-coding RNA of Nicotiana tabacum (common tobacco), 1169 nucleotides long. NCBI's taxonomy places the organism in Eukaryota, Viridiplantae, Streptophyta, Magnoliopsida, Solanales, Solanaceae. The record is from RefSeq and is a predicted model, not a curated record.
GAGGGUCUAUUUGAAACAAUCUCUCUAUCCUCACAAGAUAGGUUAAGGUACGUGUACACACUACCCUCUCCAGACCCUACGGUAUGGGAUAAUAGUGGGUAUGUUUUUGUUGUUGUUUUGCUUUUUCCUAUUUAGGAUGCAUAUAUAAGUGGACAAGAUUGUGCUGAUAAUGUUGAGAAAAGGCCCAAAAUUGGAACUCUCAGAUAUAAAGAACCUUUGCUGACUAAAAUGAAUCAGAACUUGCCCUACUCUAUAUGAGUAUUUCUCCUGAUAUUCAGUAGAGUUUUGAGACAAAGUCUACCCUUUCUACUACCAUUGUAUACAUAUUCUCUUCAUUUUUGGUUUUCUUAGGCAAAAUGUAACUGGAUUCCUACUUCAUGAAGUCAGCGCUCUAAAGAUUAGGCGGAUCUAGGAUUCUGAAAAGACGGGUGCAACAUUUCGGGAUGAGAAAAUCGAGUAAACUUCAUGCGUGUGAAAACUGGGAAGUUUCAUGGGAAUUGAUUGCUAUAGUGAUUUAAAGAAUAAAAAGGAAAGUUACGUUAGUAGAAAUAGAAAGAAAAGAAAUAUUUAAGAAAAAAAUUAAACAAAACUUUUGGUUGGGGGAUUUGAUCCCUUGACCUUAGGUUGGUGGAAAUAAGGCGCCAAAGCCAAUGAACCACUUCACCUCUUUUGACCUUGGGUUCCAUUAAAUAUGUAUAUGUAGUUUUGCCAAAUUAUGUACAUCAUAUAUAUACUUUAACCCGAGUACCACGGGUUCACGUGAACCACAUUUUAUACCGUGGAUUCGCCCCUGUUUCUAGCAGGUAUCCUACUUGGUCACCUUGGAAAGUAAUGUUGUGCAGAGAAAUUUUCUCCAUCAAAGAGGCAAAGAGAUUAUGUAGGGCAUCUACCCCUGACAGAAAAGAAGACGGAAAGAAAGUCGAUUAAUACCUUAGCAAUACCGCGAAUAUUGAUGUUUGUAUUUGUUAUUGUUGAGAAGGAGUGAAUAGAGAUCCAACCAAUUAUUGGUGAUGAAUCCAGCUUUUCUCCGUUCUUUGGAGUAAGGGGGCGCGAGGGGAAGAGAUGGGACCAAAAAAAGUGAAUUCAUUCGUGAUAGUUGCAGUAGUAAUCGUUUGAUCUGACUAAUAAAACUUUUUGAUUUUAAUCAAUUGUUAAAAUACUGCAACAUA